AUGAAGACGCCGCCGGACGACGUGGUCCGCUUGAUCCUCCUGCUCCUCGACGACGUGGUCACCCUCUUCCGUUGCGCCGCCACGUGCAAACGCUGGCGCCGCCUCAUAGCCGAGCCCUCCUUCCUAGUCCGGCGCCGGUGGCCGCCCUCUCUGGUUGGCUUCUUCACCCAGCGAUGGCUCCUCACGACGUUCCCAGGGAGCAGCCCCACAGACUCCUCCAGCCAGCUCGCUUUCGUCCCGUCGUCCUCGUCGCCUUCGUUGUUCGGCCCUGAUCGCCGCCCAUUGACCUCCUUGGUCCCCAACGCGGACUUCCCCGCCGUCGACCGUGCAGUGUCGCUCGCCACGCGCGACGGCCUCCUUCUGGUGCGCCUGUACCCAUGCGACGAUGACCUGGAACCCAACGUCGUCCGCUUGGCUGUGUGCGACACGCUCGCCGGCAGGUGGGACGUGCUGCCCGAGCUGGACUGCGACAGCCAGUUUUGCUACUUCGACACUUACGGCCACACCAUCAUACCGAGCAGCUCCGGCGGCGACGACAGGCCGGCCUUCAGAGUCCUAUUGAUCGGCGCCGACAAGUACGAGUCGGAGUCGCAGUUCAACCUCCACCGAUUCGCCUCCAGCGACCGGAGCUGGAGCGCGCCGCGCAAGUGCUUCGACAUGAUGGAGCGUCAAAUCUGGUCCAUGAAGGAGGAGAACGCCGUGGUGUGCCGAGGCAACGCGCACUGGUUGUUCGUCAGGGCUUCAAACCACUUCCACGUCCUCAACGUCGACGUCGAGACCGGCCACAUCUCCCUGACGAAAAUCCUCACACCAACCAGGGACAAGUUCAUCCCGGCGGCUGACUUUGACUUAUUGCAUGUGGACCAUGCCACGGCCUUGGCGAAUAUCCGGCGCAGUCUACGUGACCUCCCUGGUGCCGACCGUCUCGCCAUCACCGCAGACGGCAAGCUCUUGUCGCUCAGUGUGUACCGUGACCGCCAUCUAGAGAUCUGGACACAACAACAGGGCGAUGGAGAUCGGAGCGGAGAUGGUGAUGCAGAGUGGCUCCGCACUAGGGUGAUCGACCACAAACUGACCGAGCUCAUCCGACAGAUUGAAUGCCCGUCAUGCAUUUGGUCGGGGGAGAGGAGCGGCACCUUGCUCAUCAAGGAUUACGACGGAGGGGGCAUGUAUACUGCUCGUCUCGACGCAGGGACAUUAGAAGAGGUGAUCGACCAGAUUCGUGAUUGUAACGUAAUCGUGCCUAUGGAGAUAGACUGGCCAACCUUCUUCAUGACGCGCCUUGAGGCUCCUUAUUAG
Molecule: ribosomal RNA, 1299 nt
Filed under: Triticum aestivum (bread wheat)
Lineage: Eukaryota; Viridiplantae; Streptophyta; Magnoliopsida; Poales; Poaceae
Description: partial small subunit ribosomal RNA
Source: RNAcentral